Molecule: ribosomal RNA, 267 nt
Filed under: uncultured bacterium
Lineage: Bacteria
Description: partial 16S ribosomal RNA
Rfam family: Bacterial small subunit ribosomal RNA
Source: RNAcentral
GUCCUAGCCCUAAACGAUGCUCAUUAGAUGUGGGAGGUAUCGACCCCUUCCGCGUCGUAGCUAACGCAUUAAAUGAGCCGCCUGGGGAGUACGGCCGCAAGGUUGAAACUCAAAGGAAUUGACGGGGGCCCGCACAAGCGGUGGAACAUGUGGUUUAAUUCGACGCAACGCGAAGAACCUUACCUGGGCUUGAACUACUGGUGGUAAGUCCUUGGAAACAGGGGCUGACCCGCAAGGGAGCCAGCAGAGGUGCUGCAUGGUUGUCGU